ACCUGGGUGGCUCAGUGGGUUGAGCCUCUGACUUAGGAUCAGGUCAUGAUUUCACUGCUAGUGGGUUCAAGCCCUGCAUCAGGCU
RNAcentral lists this transfer RNA (85 nucleotides) under Felis catus (domestic cat). It matches the Rfam family "tRNA". From Rfam's summary of the family: Transfer RNA (tRNA) molecules are approximately 80 nucleotides in length. Lineage: Eukaryota; Metazoa; Chordata; Mammalia; Carnivora; Felidae. The record is from Rfam by way of RNAcentral. RNAcentral also lists the same sequence under 4 other names.